RNAcentral lists this RNase P RNA (350 nucleotides) under uncultured Pontimonas sp. RNAcentral's name for it is "Bacterial RNase P class A". It matches the Rfam family "Bacterial RNase P class A". Rfam says of the family: Ribonuclease P (RNase P) is a ubiquitous endoribonuclease, found in archaea, bacteria and eukarya as well as chloroplasts and mitochondria. Its best characterised activity is the generation of mature 5'-ends of tRNAs by cleaving the 5'-leader elements of precursor-tRNAs. Cellular RNase Ps are ribonucleoproteins. Lineage: Bacteria; Bacillati; Actinomycetota; Actinomycetes; Micrococcales; Microbacteriaceae. The record is from RNAcentral.
GGUCGGCCAGGCGGCCGCGUCACCCUCACGGGUGCCGAGGAACGUCCGGGCUCCACAGAGCAGGGUGGUGGGUAACACCCACCCGGAGUAAUCCGCGAGAUAGUGCCACAGAGAGUAGACCGCCGAUUUUCGGAUCGGUAAGGGUGAAAGGGUGGUGUAAGAGACCACCAGAGGGACAGGUGACUGUUCCUGCUCGGUAAACCUCGCCCGGAGCAAGACCAAACAGGUGUCGCCAUCGUUGCUCGCGUAGACACCGGGUAGGUCGCUAGAAAUCAGCGGUAACGCUGAUUCGAGAGAGAUGGUCGCCCUCAGGGAAACCUGGGACAGAACCCGGCGUAUCGGCCGGCCUC